ACAAAAGCUGAGAUGGGAAAAAGAGACCGAACACGCCUUUCAGAGAGCCGGCGGCUGCUGUGAGCCGGCAGACGGACGGUUUUGUACUGGCCCCGGAGCUUUCCGCCUGAACAGGGCGGGACGGCUGGCCGCGUUAAAGGCCGCUGAGAGGCGUUUUGCGCCUGAAUCAGGGUGGUACCGCGUUUUUACGCCCCUGAC
RNAcentral lists this non-coding RNA (198 nucleotides) under Bacillota bacterium. RNAcentral describes it as "Firmicutes bacterium T-box sequence". It matches the Rfam family "T-box leader". Rfam says of the family: Uncharged tRNA acts as the effector for transcription antitermination of genes in the T-box leader family. T-boxes are found upstream of many aminoacyl-tRNA synthetase genes and some amino acid biosynthetic genes usually in Gram-positive bacteria. The record is from RNAcentral. Lineage: Bacteria; Bacillati; Bacillota.